Paramormyrops kingsleyae is the source of this 2570-nucleotide long non-coding RNA. RefSeq lists it as uncharacterized. NCBI's taxonomy places the organism in Eukaryota, Metazoa, Chordata, Actinopteri, Osteoglossiformes, Mormyridae. The record is from RefSeq and is a predicted model, not a curated record.
AGCAAAGGAGCUGCACUUUGUUAGAAACAUGGUUACAUAAGAAUGCUCCAUGGGAAAGAAAAAGUCUCUGUAAGCGAGAAGGAGAGAAACCGUAGGAGUGCACAAGUGGUACACUUUGAAGGGAGGUGAAGUCUUCAUCUUGUAGAUUCAUAUUCUGGAGGAAGUCACUGCAGGCAUCAGAUGGAUGCAUUGAUGAAUGCCUGAGUGCAGUGAUUUACAUACGGUUUGUUGUGUAAUUCAACCUUAAACAUGAACAAGUGAACAGAUCCUGUCAGAUUUUGUCUGAAUAUUGUGGUUCCAAAUAGGAGACUGAUACGGAGGUGAACGUCACAGCUAUCUUGCUGUGCCAACUUGCCAACAUGGAACUUAGGGAUGUGAGCAGAGGAGCAGGAAUGGUGGACAGGUGCUGAUAGUUGCUGAUUCUGCUGCCACUGCUUCGGGGGGGGAUGUGCUUUUCAGGAUUCCCUGGAGGCUGAGAGACACGGGUGCGAUACGUCGCCCCCCCGGGGCCGGGACCCGGCGAGGGUUAGAGCAGGAGGGAGGGGUGCGGCUGCCACUCGGAGAGGCUGUCAGACGUGGGCUGGCGCUGCAGAUAGUGCCUGUAGAACGUCAUCGCCGUGGAAGCGACUCGACCUCUGACAUCCGCAGCACUCACUGUAGUUCAGGAAGGACUCCUAGUCUGACAGUAAUAGCCUGUAUUUUAGUCCUUCGCUUCCAGAUACACACAAACAUACACACAUGCAUAUAUAAUUCAAAUAAAAAAUAUAUAUAAAACUGCAAAAUAAACUAUAUGCCGUAAUAAAAAUAAGAUAUAAAUUACAUUUAUUUAUUUCCUGGACACUAAAUCACAAGCAUUCUUGACUUUUUGGUAGCCCCACUAAAUAUGAUUAACCUGAUUUUCAGCUCUUGGCUGCAAGACAGAACGGUGUGUUGUGAUGCAAAAGGGCUUCCAGUCAGGUUUCUGUCUGCGGAGAUUCUUUAACCAAGUUUGAUUUUGGCAACAUCAAGGCAGAGAUUUAGUGGUAUUAUAAUGUGAAACAUAUUUAAGGUAAUUGAUGGUUUUUAUCAAAUCAAAUAGCCAGAUGAAGGGCCAUUACUAAGUACCCUUCCAGUGUAUGUAAAGUAUAUUCUUUUGUAAUUAUAUCGCAGAAAAUUGCAGCGGAGGAAAUAAAUUUGAAUCAAACUGCAGGCACAAUGAAAUAUGAGUCCUGAAAAGGAAAAUGGAUUUGGUUGUUGAACCUAACAGUUACAGAAUCCAUCCAGCUGGGAUCUAAGUACCACUUCUUUUCCCGUGAACUUCUUUCAGUUUAUUGCUCCUGAUAAUUUAACAUUUGAUCCCCAUGAUACAUCUUGGACCCCAAUCAGAUAAAUAACCCUUAAGAUAACUAUUAAUUAAGUAUUAUAUCUGCAUACAUAUUUGACAAAGCGGAAACUGUCAUUCAUCAAUAAAGAUUUUUUUUCUGGCCAAAAUGACAAUGAAUCAAUAAAUUAAUAUAUUAAUUCACUUAAAAGCGUAAAAUUGUAGGUGUGUGUGCAUGUGGCUGCAUGUGUUUAUUGAUCGCAUGGGUCAAGUAUGUAGGAAUUGGCCAAAUAUCAUAAAUGUAGCUAUUUUUAUGCUGAUGUCUUGACCCCUCUGACUUCCUGAGCAAAAGGCACAAGUGGCUCAUUGCACUGGCUAUUUCACGAGAGAUCUAAUGGUUAUUAUGGGUUUCUGCUGGCAGUGAAGCCCUGCCCACUCCGCUCCUGCAAGGCCAGGCUCCCCCUUCCCACUGGGCUCUUAAUCUGGUUUGGGGGACUGAAGGGGCGAGUCUCAGUCUUGGCUCCGGCCUCUGUUAGUUUGGGGGAGGAUUAAGGCAAGAAUGCCCCCGACGCAGCGUGAAAGGUGACCUGGCACCCUGGCAGCCGUCCAGUUCAGGUGCAGCUUAUCCUCACCCCACAAAUUCUAUACGGCACUUUCAGGGCCCCGAUCACCCAAUUAAACAUGGCCGGUUGACCCCGGUCAGGGAGGCGGAGCCUCGGACCCCCGUUACCACAGAGAGGACCACCUGUCACUCCUCAGAUCAAAUGAAACCCUGAAGAGACAGAACUCCCCAUGAACACAGAACACACCUCCUAAAUCUCUCCCCCCGGCGCCAGUGGGGGGCUCUCUGCCUUUUCUUCUUCUAAAUGUCAUUAUUGUAAUGCUGUAAUCCAGGCAUGCGCUUAUCAAACAAAAAGAGCCGGCACACAUUAAAACCCCCGUUGCUGUUGUCGACUCCGUCAUCAUGGUCGCCGCUGCCGCUCACGGCUGCGGUUCACCAGCAGCGCUCUCGUUUUCGGGAAUAUGGAUGAAAAGCGAAGACAGCAGGAGAGCCAAGGCGAGCGCGGGGAUCCGGGUCACACCCUCCAGCUCGAGUAACGGAUCAGGACCCACUCGCGAUUCCAGCUCGUCUGCCAGCCCGCGAGUUGACGGCGUUGGCGUGCGCCCCCGUCCCGUUCCGCGGAGAGCGCGCAGCCCCAGGUUAUUUACGGCGGCCUGCUGUGUUCUCAGCUCUCUAUUGCAGGGGGAUAAAAAAAAAAAAGCAGANCAU